This 700-nucleotide ribosomal RNA is filed under the name Mucor hiemalis f. hiemalis. RNAcentral describes it as "LSU rRNA". It matches the Rfam family "Eukaryotic large subunit ribosomal RNA", at positions 66 to 664 of the family's 3401-position model. Lineage: Eukaryota; Fungi; Mucoromycota; Mucoromycetes; Mucorales; Mucoraceae. The record is from RNAcentral.
UAACAAUGAUUCCCCCAGUAACGGCGAGUGAACAGGGAAAAGCUCAAAGUUGGAAGCUCCUGGCCCUAGGCUAGGCGCAUUGUAAACUAAAGCUGUAAAGUAGUUCGGUUGGCCUGGUAAAAAAGUUCCCUGGAAUGGGGCGACAUGGAGGGUGAAAUCCCCGUCUUUGGCCAGAGCUCAGCUGUGCGUUUGCUUUGCUGCGAAGAGUCAGGUUGUUUGGGAAUGCAGCCUAAAAUGGGAGGUAGACUUCUCCUAAAGCUAAAUAUUGACGAAAGACCGAUAGCGAACAAGUACCGUGAGGGAAAGAUGAAAAGCACUUUGAAAAGAGGGUCAAAAAGUACGUGAAAUUGCUAAAAGGGAACCGUAUGAAAUCAGCCUGAUGUAUGGGUAAUCAGCCUGGGCUUUGGCCUGGGUGCACUUGCCCAUGUAUUAGCCUGCGACAGUUUGACCUGGGGGAAAAAAGAUGGGGGAAUGUGGCCUCGGCUUCGGUCGUGGUGUUAUAGCCCCUGUCAAAAUACCUUGGGUUGGACUGAGGACUGCAGCCAGCCGUAAGGCAUGGGUCUCGGGCGCUCUGUCUCGGCGAAAAGUGAAUCUCUGCCUCGGGUGGUGCGCUUUUCGUCAGGGCAGACCCGUCUGUUUCUUCUUUGUCUCGCUUAGGUCGUAGGCAUAAUGAUUUUAUAUGACCCGUCUUGAAACACGG